This 250-nucleotide ribosomal RNA is filed under the name Salmonella enterica. RNAcentral describes it as "partial 16S ribosomal RNA". It matches the Rfam family "Bacterial small subunit ribosomal RNA", at positions 1 to 247 of the family's 1533-position model. RNAcentral also lists the same sequence under 1 other name. Lineage: Bacteria; Pseudomonadati; Pseudomonadota; Gammaproteobacteria; Enterobacterales; Enterobacteriaceae. The record is from RNAcentral.
AAAUUGAAGAGUUUGAUCAUGGCUCAGAUUGAACGCUGGCGGCAGGCCUAACACAUGCAAGUCGAACGGUAACAGGAAGCAGCUUGCUGCUUCGCUGACGAGUGGCGGACGGGUGAGUAAUGUCUGGGAAACUGCCUGAUGGAGGGGGAUAACUACUGGAAACGGUGGCUAAUACCGCAUAACGUCGCAAGACCAAAGAGGGGGACCUUCGGGCCUCUUGCCAUCAGAUGUGCCCAGAUGGGAUUAGCUG